RNAcentral lists this ribosomal RNA (261 nucleotides) under uncultured prokaryote. Its description in RNAcentral is "partial 16S ribosomal RNA". It matches the Rfam family "Bacterial small subunit ribosomal RNA", at positions 524 to 784 of the family's 1533-position model. The record is from RNAcentral.
UACGUAGGGUGCGAGCGUUGUCCGGAAUUAUUGGGCGUAAAGAGCUUGUAGGCGGUUUGUCGCGUCUGCUGUGAAGAUCCGGGGCUCAACCCCGGACUUGCAGUGGGUACGGGCAGACUAGAGUGUGGUAGGGGAGACUGGAAUUCCUGGUGUAGCGGUGAAAUGCGCAGAUAUCAGGAGGAACACCGAUGGCGAAGGCAGGUCUCUGGGCCACUACUGACGCUGAGAAGCGAAAGCAUGGGGAGCGAACAGGAUUAGAUA